UCCGAUGUAAAAGACUGGGUUUGCACUGAGUUCAAAUCCCACCGAGUUAAAAAAGUUAAAAUUGCCUUCUCCCAGAUGAACCGUCAAAUAUUUCAAGGGCCAGCUGUUAACCACGAGGUAAAUGUGGGGGAUAGGUAACCACUUGCGGGCUUGUCACUAACUAACGCCCCUUAACUGCGGGAGGGGGAAUCCCUUGAUUCAAUCGAGAUAGGUGAAGAAACAUGGAGACAGAAGCAACUAAUAAGGCCAUUAUGAAAUGAAGCAAAAAAAAAAAAAAAAAAAAAAACCGAAAGCUAAUCAGAACAUGGGGUGGACAAGGUGGACCUUUUUUGUAUGCUAUAUGCCCUCAGCACCCAUACCGCGUAUGACAUAAUGAAUGCAAGGGUUGUUAACUGGAGAUAACAGAUGAGGGUCAUGCAGCAGGUAUGGCAGAUAUAUAAAUAUCCCCUGGGAACAUCAUAAAUGUGAAUAGCCGUUUGACGUUUGGAGGUGGGGAAUUGCGAAAUUUGAGACCUUUUAGAAACCCAUAUGG
RNAcentral lists this small RNA (532 nucleotides) under Histoplasma capsulatum. Its description in RNAcentral is "hypothetical RNA". Lineage: Eukaryota; Fungi; Ascomycota; Eurotiomycetes; Onygenales; Ajellomycetaceae. The record is from RNAcentral.